Long non-coding RNA from Mauremys reevesii (Reeves's turtle), 1026 nucleotides. RefSeq lists it as uncharacterized. NCBI's taxonomy places the organism in Eukaryota, Metazoa, Chordata, Testudines, Geoemydidae. The record is from RefSeq and is a predicted model, not a curated record. The transcript is spliced from 3 exons.
CUUCUACUGAGUUACUGAAGCGAUCUGGAGGUUAGAAAGGUGUCACGUGACAGGAACAAGCCAAAUCCACCGUGAGCAGGGUAAACGCUACCGGAGGGUAUUAGCUGUUACAUGGUUCCUGUAUUCACCCAUCAUUGUGGUGACUUUUGCCCCCUGAAGAUCUGGAAACAAUAUAUUUAACCACGAAGGCUCCAGAAAUCCUGCUUUGGACAGCAACAGCAUUUCUAUCUUUGAGUUCCAGCCAGGGACAAGGCAGUGUCACGCAAACACAAGGAGAGCUGGAAAAGUUGGGGGUUCAGACUGUCACCCUGGAGUGUACUUUCUCCACUGGAUACAAGUAUUAUUACUUAUUUUGGUACAGACAGCAACGAUCAGGAGCAAUGGAUUUCCUCUUCCGAAUAUUUCAGAAUAACGCUAAAAAGAACGGAGCGGGAGAAGGUUUUCUGCAGAAUUCAGGAAAUCCUCAAAAUUCUUCACUUUAAUAAUUAAAGAGCUAGAGCCGACGGACUCGGCGAUGUAUUUCUAUGCUCUGUGGGAAGACACUGUGAGGCGUUUAAUAGAGAAGCCUGUACAAAAAAACCACCCCCUGGGCUUUAUCAUCAUGAGAAAAACAACUGCAGAGUAGAAUUCCCAGGCAACAGACAGAUGGUUAAACGAGAUGAUGGUGCUGGUAUAAACCACACGAAUUGACACCCAUGGAGAUUUAUGCCCCUAAUUCACCAUUGUGUUACUUCAGAUUAACCUCAGUUUACCCACUCUGGGUCUGCUCCUCAGCUGCGGUGAAUCACUGUGGGCCAGAUGGAGUCAGCUGGCCCAGGUCCACCAUAGGUCUCAGUCAGCUGUACUUCCAUUGGGGCUGGAUUCCCCCAGCUAGAGUAAACCAGCAUGGGGCCAAUGGGAGAGAUACACAAAGACACAACACACAGAAGCAUGCAGACACACGCGCACGUGCAAACACAAACAAUAGAGACAGAUAGAAACACACCCACACUCACAAAACCGGCACACACAACACAGAGCUUUUAA